GAGUUUGAUCCUGGCUCAGAUUGAACGCUGGCGGCAUGCCUUACACAUGCAAGUCGAACGGCAGCAUGAUCUAGCUUGCUAGAUUGAUGGCGAGUGGCGAACGGGUGAGUAAUACAUCGGAACGUGCCCUGUAGUGGGGAUAACUAGUCGAAAGAUUAGCUAAUACCGCAUACGACCUGAGGGUGAAAGUGGGGGACCGCAAGGCCUCAUGCUAUAGGAGCGGCCGAUGUCUGAUUAGCUAGUUGGUGGGGUAAAGGCCCACCAAGGCGACGAUCAGUAGCUGGUCUGAGAGGACGAUCAGCCACACUGGGACUGAGACACGACCCAGACUCCUACGGGAGGCAGCAGUGGGGAAUUUUGGACAAUGGGCGAAAGCCUGAUCCAGCAAUGCCGCGUGUGUGAAGAAGGCCUCGGUGUAAG
Molecule: ribosomal RNA, 420 nt
Filed under: uncultured microorganism
Description: bacterial SSU rRNA
Rfam family: Bacterial small subunit ribosomal RNA
Source: RNAcentral